GACGAACGCUGGCGGCGUGCUUAACACAUGCAAGUCGUACGGUAAGGCCCUUUCGGGGGUACACGAGUGGCGAACGGGUGAGUAACACGUGAGUAACCUUCCCACACCUUUGGGAUAACGCUAGGAAACUGGUGCUAAUACUGGAUAUGUGCUCCUGCUGCAUGGUGGGGGUUGGAAAGCUCCGGCGGUUGUGGAUGGACUCGCGGCCUAUCAGCUUGUUGGUGGGGUAGUGGCCUACCAAGGCGGCGACGGGUAGCCGGCCUGAGAGGGUGACGGGCCACAUUGGGACUGAGAUACGGCCCAGACUCCUACGGGAGGCAGCAGUGGGGAAGAUUGCACAAUGGGCGCAAGCCUGAUGCAGCAGCGCCGCGGGCGGGAUGACGGCCUUCGGGUUGUAAACCGCUGUCAGCAGGGACGAAGCUUUUUGUGACGGUACCUGCAGAAGAAGCACCGGCUAACUACGUG
This 465-nucleotide ribosomal RNA is filed under the name uncultured bacterium. Its description in RNAcentral is "partial 16S ribosomal RNA". It matches the Rfam family "Bacterial small subunit ribosomal RNA", at positions 28 to 507 of the family's 1533-position model. The record is from RNAcentral.